GAUAAACGCUGGCGGCGUGCCUAAUACAUGCAAGUCGAGCGAACGGACGAGAAGCUUGCUUCUCUGAUGUUAGCGGCGGACGGGUGAGUAACACGUGGAUAACCUACCUAUAAGACUGGGAUAACUUCGGGAAACCGGAGCUAAUACCGAAUAAUAUUUUGAACCGCAUGGUUCAAAAGUGAAAGACGGUCUUGCUGUCACUCAUAGAUGGAUCCGCGCUGCAUUAGCUAGUUGGUAAGGUAACGGCUUACCAAGGCAACGAUGCAUAGCCGACCUGAGAGGGUGAUCGGCCACACUGGAACUGAGACACGGUCCAGACUCCUACGGGAGGCAGCAGUAGGGAAUCUUCCGCAAUGGGCGAAAGCCUGACGGAGCAACGCCGCGUGAGUGAUGAAGGUCUUCGGAUCGUAAAACUCUGUUAUUAGGGAAGAACAUAUGUGUAAGUAACUGUGCACAUCUUGACGGUACCUAAUCAGAAAGCCACGGCUAACUACGUGCCAGCAGCCGCGGUAAUACGUAGGUGGCAAGCGUUAUCCGGAAUUAUUGGGCGUAAAGCGCGCGUAGGCGGUUUUUUAAGUCUGAUGUGAAAGCCCACGGCUCAACCGUGGAGGGUCAUUGGAAACUGGAAAACUUGAGUGCAGAAGAGGAAAGUGGAAUUCCAUGUGUAGCGGUGAAAUGCGCAGAGAUAUGGAGGAACACCAGUGGCGAAGGCGACUUUCUGGUCUGUAACUGACGCUGAUGUGCGAAAGCGUGGGGAUCAAACAGGAUUAGAUACCCUGGUAGUCCACGCCGUAAACGAUGAGUGCUAAGUGUUAGGGGGUUUCCGCCCCUUAGUGCUGCAGCUAACGCAUUAAGCACUCCGCCUGGGGAGUACGACCGCAAGGUUGAAACUCAAAGGAAUUGACGGGGACCCGCACAAGCGGUGGAGCAUGUGGUUUAAUUCGAAGCAACGCGAAGAACCUUACCAAAUCUUGACAUCCUUUGACAACUCUAGAGAUAGAGCCUUCCCCUUCGGGGGACAAAGUGACAGGUGGUGCAUGGUUGUCGUCAGCUCGUGUCGUGAGAUGUUGGGUUAAGUCCCGCAACGAGCGCAACCCUUAAGCUUAGUUGCCAUCAUUAAGUUGGGCACUCUAAGUUGACUGCCGGUGACAAACCGGAGGAAGGUGGGGAUGACGUCAAAUCAUCAUGCCCCUUAUGAUUUGGGCUACACACGUGCUACAAUGGACAAUACAAAGGGCAGCGAAACCGCGAGGUCAAGCAAAUCCCAUAAAGUUGUUCUCAGUUCGGAUUGUAGUCUGCAACUCGACUACAUGAAGCUGGAAUCGCUAGUAAUCGUAGAUCAGCAUGCUACGGUGAAUACGUUCCCGGGUCU
Molecule: ribosomal RNA, 1372 nt
Filed under: uncultured bacterium
Lineage: Bacteria
Description: bacterial SSU rRNA
Rfam family: Bacterial small subunit ribosomal RNA
Source: RNAcentral